Myotis daubentonii (Daubenton's bat) is the source of this 168-nucleotide small nuclear RNA. RefSeq annotates it as U1 spliceosomal RNA. NCBI's taxonomy places the organism in Eukaryota, Metazoa, Chordata, Mammalia, Chiroptera, Vespertilionidae. The record is from RefSeq and is a predicted model, not a curated record.
AUCCUUAAGGGCUCAAGAAGUGUGUUGCUUGAUCAUGAAGAUGGCUUUUCCAGGUUGAGGCUCGCUCAUUGCACUCUGGGUGUGCUGACCUAUGUGAUUUCCCCAUAUGUGGGAAACUCAACUGCAUAAUUUGUAGUACCUGGGGGACUGCAUUUGUGCUUUCCCCUG